RNAcentral lists this transfer RNA (73 nucleotides) under Flavobacteriaceae bacterium. RNAcentral's name for it is "tRNA-Glu". It matches the Rfam family "tRNA". Rfam says of the family: Transfer RNA (tRNA) molecules are approximately 80 nucleotides in length. Their secondary structure includes four short double-helical elements and three loops (D, anti-codon, and T loops). Lineage: Bacteria; Pseudomonadati; Bacteroidota; Flavobacteriia; Flavobacteriales; Flavobacteriaceae. The record is from RNAcentral.
GCUCCGUUCGUAUAAUGGUUUAGUACGUCUGCCUUUCUAGCAGAAAAUAAGGGUUCGAUUCCCUUACGGAGUA